Molecule: long non-coding RNA, 1434 nt
Organism: Cavia porcellus (domestic guinea pig)
Lineage: Eukaryota; Metazoa; Chordata; Mammalia; Rodentia; Caviidae
Exons: 3
Source: RefSeq, a predicted model, not a curated record
UCUGAAGUCUACCUCAACACAUAAUCCCAAGUUGCAAUUGCCUGGUGGGAAACUGAGACUUUGUUUGGACAAACUCAGUCAACUUUUUCAGCCCCACAUUCUGCCAACGAGGGGUCUUAAGAAGGCUGAGAUCUCUGGAUGGCUCUGAAGUCCAUAAAGGAGCAGAGGCCAGUGUGUGAAGAUAGAAGUGGGAACUUCUCAGCAAGACACCCUCAUGUCCAGAGUCACACGGGAAGAAAAAUGGGAAGAGUCUAAGCAGAAAUACAGAGAAGCUCAUUCAGCAUGUCUAUUAUUUAGGAUUAUGAAAGCAACACCUACAUGAUGUGUUGGAAUAAUGGUUAGAGCAGCAAGGGACGCUACAUGGUGAAAGGUGAGAUUUCCCACUAGGGGGCACUGUGACAUCCACAGGUACUGUUACCCAAGUACAACAAAGGUAUCAUUAGCAUUCACACUUCUGUAGUCAGGGUCCUGUAUGGAAUAUUAUAUGGAUUAAAGUUUGAUGCUACAAUGGAUGGUCUACCUGGGAUGGCAUAAGUGUUGUUCGUAUGAGUACAACUGCAUAUGUGGAUGCAAGUAUAUACAAACAUCUCCAUAUAUAGAUAUGAGUUAAAAGUGGGGUAGACAGAGAUUGGGUGGUAUUAUUUUAACAAGUGGCCAUCACCUUGGAAGAAGGGGAUUAGCUUCUGUUGAGUGUGUAUUGUAGACUAAGUCUUUUCGUACAUUUUUGCAUUUAACCUUCAUAGUAGCUAUGGAAGGUAGCAAUUACUGCUCCACAUAAUACCAAAGAGGAAACUUGUUGGAUCUCAUACACUUUAAGGAACUUGCCCAAGGUCAUAAAACUGGGUAGUUACAGGGCCUGAAUUAAAAUCCAGUUCUGUUGAGCUUCAUAACUGUAAUAUAGUAUUGAAAACCAUAAUACAGUCAUGCCUCACAUCACAUAGGCUUGCUACGGUUUCUUGUAAUGUGCAAAUUAACUCCAGGGGCUAUGGUUUGUGGUAUGUUUGCACAAACAAUACUACAUGUGCAUUACACAAAAUGAAAAUCAUGUAUAUGCAAAAUAUGUGAAAGUUUGAUCUGGGUUGGAUGGCAAGUAUAUGUAAAAAGUUAAAUAUAUAAAGCAUUCCACUUUUCCCCUUUUUACCUCAAGAUAAUUAUUAAAGAACCCUAUCUAGAAAAAUACAUGCAAAUGAAUUCCAAUAUAUAAUUCAAUAAACAUAAGAGUCAUUUAAAAGAAUAUUAAGCUUAUUUUAAAGUUGACAUAUCAAAUCCACAUGUAUACAUAAUUAAAGCCAUCCACUGUUUGCCUCAAAAUGCUUUAGCACUAAGGUAAUGACAUGAAUUCCAUUUAAAUUUUCUCUUUAUGCUUUAGGAAAAACCAUUUCAACUGCGAUAGUUGAUGUCACCCACUUAACAGUGGUCCAUUGUCAAUGAAGG